RNAcentral lists this ribosomal RNA (422 nucleotides) under uncultured Mogibacterium sp. RNAcentral describes it as "bacterial SSU rRNA". It matches the Rfam family "Bacterial small subunit ribosomal RNA", at positions 356 to 793 of the family's 1533-position model. Lineage: Bacteria; Bacillati; Bacillota; Clostridia; Peptostreptococcales; Anaerovoracaceae. The record is from RNAcentral.
GAGGAAUCUUCCACAAUGGGCGAAAGCCUGAUGGAGCAACGCCGCGUGUAGGAUGAAGGCCUUCGGGUUGUAAACUGCUUUUAUUAGUGAGGAAUAUGACGGUAACUAAUGAAUAAGGGUCGGCUAACUACGUGCCAGCAGCCGCGGUCAUACGUAGGACCCAAGCGUUAUCCGGAGUGACUGGGCGUAAAGAGUUGCGUAGGUGGUUCGUAAAGCGAAUAGUGAAAUCUGGGGGCUCAACCUCACAGGCUAUUAUUCGAACUCACAAACUCGAGAGUGGUAGAGGUAACUGGAAUUUCUAGUGUAGGAGUGAAAUCCGUAGAUAUUAGAAGGAACACCAAUGGCGUAGGCAGGUUACUGGACCAUUUCUGACACUGAGGCACGAAAGCGUGGGGAGCGAACCGGAUUAGAUACCCUGGUAG